RNAcentral lists this ribosomal RNA (247 nucleotides) under Ochromonas sp. CCMP1393. Its description in RNAcentral is "partial Bacterial large subunit ribosomal RNA". It matches the Rfam family "Bacterial large subunit ribosomal RNA", at positions 624 to 872 of the family's 2925-position model. The record is from RNAcentral. Lineage: Eukaryota; Chrysophyceae; Chromulinales; Chromulinaceae.
CGACUUGGUCUCACGAGCAAGCUUAAGCCGGUAGGCGAAGGCGCAGCGAAAGCGAGUCUGAACAGGGCGUUCAGUUCGUGGGAUCAGACCCGAAACCGAGUGAUCUAGCCAUGGCCAGGCUGAAGGCUGGGUAACACCAGCUGGAGGGCCGAACCCACACCUGUUGAAAAAGGUCGGGAUGAGCUGUGGCUAGGGGUGAAAGGCUAAUCAAACUCGGUGAUAGCUGGUUCUCCCCGAAAUGCAUUUA